GUGUACACAAGAUAGAGCUCUCAUCAAAUUUUCUUAAAUUUUACAGUUAAAUCCACCUUCAAAGAUUAUUUUAUCCAUCUUAUCCGUAUUAUUCCUUUAAAUGUAACCCACCUCUUUCUUUCUUAUAAGCUGCACCUUUACUUGAAGUCAAUGAUUUUCUCAUAAACGAAAAUACUCUCUAAAGUCUAACUGACAACAGCGAUAUACAAACUGAUUUCCAAAAAAAGUAAUGUUCCCUCGUGGUUCAUCGUUUAUAGGGCAGGUUCCUCUAAGGGGCUAUCUUGCCGCCAAAUCCGUUAAAUUUCAUCAAUAUUAUUAUUCCAAAAUAACUUCAUUAAAAGUA
Molecule: ribosomal RNA, 343 nt
Filed under: Tetraclita sp. MM-2014
Lineage: Eukaryota; Metazoa; Arthropoda; Thecostraca; Balanomorpha; Tetraclitidae
Description: partial 12S ribosomal RNA
Source: RNAcentral